GUAGAUAUAGUUUAAACAAAACACUAGAUUGUGGUUCUAGAAAUAAAGGUUAAAGUCCUCUUAUUCACC
This 69-nucleotide transfer RNA is filed under the name Leporinus affinis. RNAcentral's name for it is "tRNA-His". It matches the Rfam family "tRNA". Rfam says of the family: Transfer RNA (tRNA) molecules are approximately 80 nucleotides in length. Their secondary structure includes four short double-helical elements and three loops (D, anti-codon, and T loops). Further hydrogen bonds mediate the characteristic L-shaped molecular structure. tRNAs have two regions of fundamental functional importance: the anti-codon, which is responsible for specific mRNA codon recognition, and the 3' end, to which the tRNAs corresponding amino acid is attached (by aminoacyl-tRNA synthetases). tRNAs cope with the degeneracy of the genetic code in two manners: having more than one tRNA (with a specific anti-codon) for a particular amino acid; and 'wobble' base-pairing, i.e. permitting non-standard base-pairing at the 3rd anti-codon position. Lineage: Eukaryota; Metazoa; Chordata; Actinopteri; Characiformes; Anostomidae. The record is from RNAcentral.